This 441-nucleotide ribosomal RNA is filed under the name Amanita citrina. RNAcentral's name for it is "LSU rRNA". It matches the Rfam family "Bacterial large subunit ribosomal RNA", at positions 1719 to 2103 of the family's 2925-position model. The record is from RNAcentral. Lineage: Eukaryota; Fungi; Basidiomycota; Agaricomycetes; Agaricales; Amanitaceae.
UUAAUAUCCUCAUAAGUUAGGCGAUAAGAGGUACCAUCUUUUUAUUUAAGUGUCCGGCAAAUAUCCUCAUAAGUUAGACGAUAAGAGGUACCAUCUAUUAUUUUUUUAAAUAUAGAUGGUGGCACAGAAUCGGAGGCCCCGACUGUUUACUAAAAACACAACACAGUGCAAUCAUUAAUGUGAUAGUAUACUGUGUGAAAUUUGCCCAAUGCCAUUAAUAUAAGAGCGGUCAUAUAUAAAUGUGACUAAUUGAAAAUCUGGUUAAUAGCGGUCUUAACCAUGAGGAUCCUAAGGUAGCAAAAUAAAUUGGCCAUUAAAUGUGGUCCGGUAUCAAUAAUGUAACGAUGGCCUCACUGUCUCUACAACUUGCUCAGUGAAAUUGAAUUACGCGUGCAGAUGCGCGUUACCUCCAGUGGGACGGGAAGACCCUAUGCAGCUUCU